CAUAUCAAUAAGCGGAGGAAAAGAAACCAACAGGGAUUGCCUUAGUAACUGCGAGUGAAGCGGCAAAAGCUCAAAUUUUAAAUCUGAUGCUUCAGGCAUCCGAAUUGUAAUUUGGAGAGACAUCUUCGGGCUGAUUGCUGUCCUAAGUUCUUUGGAACAAGACGUCACAGAGGGUGAGAAUCCCGUAUGUGGGUGGCUUGGUCAGUCCAUGUGAAGUGUCUUCGACGAGUCGAGUUGUUUGGGAAUGCAGCUCAAAAUGGGUGGUAAAUGUCAUCUAAAGCUAAAUAUUGGCGAGAGACCGAUAGCGCACAAGUAGAGUGAUCGAAAGAUGAAAAGCACUUUGAAAAGAGAGUUAAAAAGUACGUGAAAUUGUUGAAAGGGAAGCGCUUAAGACCAGACUCAAUUUGCGGUGAUCAGCAGUGCUUUUGUGCUGUGCACUUGCCACAUUUUGGGACAGCAUCGGUUUGAAUGGUGGGAUAAAGGCCUGGGAAAUGUAGCUCACUUCGGGGAGUGUUAUAGCCUCAGACGUAAUAUCAUCAAUUCAGACCGAGGACCGCGCUUCAGCUAGGAUGCUGUCAUAAUGGUCUUCAGCGACCCGUCUUGAAACACGGACCAAGGAGUCUAACAUCUAUGCAAGUGUUCGGGUGGAAAACCCCUGCGCGUAAUGAAAGUGAACGGAGGUGGGAACCUUUAAGGUGCACCAUCGACCGAUCCAGAUGUUUUCGGAUGGAUUUGAGUAUGAGCAUAGCUGUUGGGACCCGAAAGAUGGUGAACUAUGCCUGAAUAGGGUGAAGCCAGAGGAAACUCUGGUGGAGGCUCGCAGCGGUUCUGACGUGCAAAUCGAUCGUCAAAUUUGGGUAUAGGGGCGAAAG
RNAcentral lists this ribosomal RNA (872 nucleotides) under Pulvinula orichalcea. RNAcentral describes it as "partial large subunit ribosomal RNA". It matches the Rfam family "Eukaryotic large subunit ribosomal RNA", at positions 39 to 929 of the family's 3401-position model. The record is from RNAcentral. Lineage: Eukaryota; Fungi; Ascomycota; Pezizomycetes; Pezizales; Pulvinulaceae.